Non-coding RNA from Oryza meridionalis, 200 nucleotides. Lineage: Eukaryota; Viridiplantae; Streptophyta; Magnoliopsida; Poales; Poaceae. The record is from Rfam.
UUUAAGUGUAAUCAUAAGUUUUCGUGUCCAACUUUGAUCAUCCGUCUUAUUUGAUUUUUUUAAAUUAGUAUUUUUGUUGUUAUGAGAUGAUAAAAUAUGAAUAAUACUUUAUAUGUGACUUAUGUUUUAAUUUUUUAAAAAAGUUUUUAAAUAAAAUAGACUAUCAAAGUUGCGCAUAGAAAAUUAUGACUGCAUUUAAA